AGCAAGUUAUCGGAUACAUGGCCGGGAUGGAGUUCCAUCAAGGUGGCAAAGAAGCUGAAAUAUCUCGACCUUACAAACCGUGAAUCUUU
Long non-coding RNA from Rhodamnia argentea, 89 nucleotides. RefSeq lists it as uncharacterized. The record is from RefSeq and is a predicted model, not a curated record. The transcript has 2 exons. NCBI's taxonomy places the organism in Eukaryota, Viridiplantae, Streptophyta, Magnoliopsida, Myrtales, Myrtaceae.